This is a long non-coding RNA of Ananas comosus (pineapple), 887 nucleotides long. RefSeq lists it as uncharacterized. Lineage: Eukaryota; Viridiplantae; Streptophyta; Magnoliopsida; Poales; Bromeliaceae. The transcript has 2 exons. The record is from RefSeq and is a predicted model, not a curated record.
CUUACUGUCCUAAUAUUAUGUAGAAAUUAAAUAGUUUGCUGCAAAAGAGAAAACAGGCAAGAAGUGGUAGGUCUGCUUCUCUUUUCUCAAUGCAAGUGGGGAUUUCUUUCUUUCUUUUGUUUUAUUAUUAUUAUUUUUUUUGUCAUUUCUCUUUCUGUUUCUGAUGAAGAUGUCUUCUUUUUUUUCUUCUUUUUUUUUGUAUAUUCUCUUCUUUCUUAGUUAGCAGGUCAUGUUCCUUGUUUAAAAAUAACAUAAGAAAAAGGAGUGCUGCAUCCAAGUGAGUGGCCAUGAUCGGGCAAGUUGGGGAGCUAUUAAUUAAUAUAUAGCUUGGGGUGAUCGAUCAUCAAGGCCCAGAAAAGAGAGUCAACUCAUUAAUUGGACGGUUGAGUUUUGGGCAUGUAAAGCUAAAGCAAGCAAGCUAAGCUAUUUUUGGAUGGUGUGCUACAUGUGUAUAAUGGUCAACGUAUUGAUCAUAUUCAUUCAUAUUGAGAGAGAGAGAUAGAGAGAGAGAGAGAGAGAAAGAGAGAGAUGCACCAAGAGGGAUUAAAAAUUUAUAUAUUUUUGCAUCCCGUACGUUAUCCAUAAACUCUCGCACUUAAAAAAUUCAGACUCUCAUCACGCACCAAGUGGGCGCAAUAGUUUCUGGUAGAAGAAAGAGGAGCAAGUGGGAGAGAACAAUUAAAGAGAGGUUAGCUAUUGCUUCCACGCAUGCAGAGUGGCGUUUGCUUGCACAUCUUAAUCUUAUGCAUUAUUGUUUUUGCUCUUCCCAGCUUUUUUAUUGAUCAAAGAGUACUACUAGCUAGUAUGCAUUUCUCUUCCUGGAAACUGCUGCUGUUCUAUUACACAUGUUGUGAAAUUUGUGAUUAGUUUAUACAUAUAGUUCGAGA